GAGUUUGGAGAUUUCCCCGGGCGUGAGAGCGCGGACUGGAAGCUGGGUGUUCAAAGGGUGUGAGAAGGGACCAAGACCCGCAUCUUCUGGGCAAAGUUUUCGGGGAGAUGGAAGGAGAGAGGGUCGGGACUGAGUUGCUGGUCUUGGGGACAGAGCAGCCGGAGCUGCGCACCAAGGCUUAGAGUCGGGCGGGAGAUGCGGGGAGAGGGAGGGGGCGGGGAGGGAGGGGAGGGAGAGAGGAGGAAGGGGUGAGAGGGAGAAACCUGCCGCGGCUCUCCGCCUCUUUGUCUGCUCUGGGACUUGGAACAAAAGGGGAAACUCUGAUGAACUCCUUCUCCAGCUCCCUGGACGCCCGAGUAUCUCUUUCUCGCAACUUUGUCAACGCGACUUUCUCCGCUGUCAGGCUGCGCAAAAGUAUCCUAGCGCCUCGCAGGCUGCAACAAUGGAAACAAUGUCCCUUCAAAGUGCGACGAAGUGGAGGGAGAAGGUGUCAUACCAGCGACUCCAAGAGUCAUGUCACCCACUUAGCAGGAGUACUUCUACUGAAAUGCCUUCGAAUUUCUCUUACUGGAUAUAUACCUACCAGCCGCUAGCAUGAAGAUGCCAGGACCGCUGCAAGUUAGCACUGGACAAAGUAGCAUCAACUUCUUCAUUUAGAGUUUCUUCAGUUAAAUUGCUGGGAUUUUCGACAAGGCUUUCCUUAUGUGGAUUAUUGGAGUGUGAUGCCCGAGAAUUCUCUACUUGUAGAAGCACGCCCACGGGACUGCAGAAGCCUUCACACCCACCCAGCACGCUCAGAUCAUCCAGUAACCAACCCAGGAAGUUCUUGUAAGCAUGCAUUUCUUAGUCAACACUGAAUGCCUUUAGACCGAGGUCAACCUUUUCAGCUGGUACCGUGGUUUACACUGCUGAUGGGAAUGAGUGAUGGCCAUCCAGUGACCAGCUGGAUCUGACUGCCUUACAAGACGCAUGUGUAUGAUUAAGAGAGAGACAUUCGUGACUCCCAGAUGUACCUCCUUCCUGUCCCACAGUGUUCCUGAAGGGAGUGAGUUAUGGGGCGACAUCUGCAGAGAGGUGGAACCAUCUAGGGAGGCCUGCCACUGUUUGCUGAGCUCCGGGUGAGGAUGAAGACACUUUGACAUGGCCAGCUUCAGACUCGGGAUCUGUCGGUGUUAGCAGCCGAAGGAGAAUGAGGAGGAAGAGGAGGAGAAAGAGGAGGAGGAAGUAAGACAGAGGGGGACAAGAGGACCAAGAGGGCACAUGGCUGAGGAGGAGGAGAACAACAACAACAACAACAACAACAACAACAACAAGAAGCUUGGUGGUGAAACUUGGAAGCCCUCUCCAGGAUGCAGCAGGUAGCUGAGGAGAAAACGAAGACUGACCAGCCCAGAGCUCAGAGCUUCCUCCCAUGCUCAGGAUUUACCACCAAUGCCAUUACAUCGGCCUCUUCUUGUAUGCCUCUGGAAACCACAUGUGUCCUCUGUUUGUAAUGGUUUGGCUAUGGUUGCUGGCCCCUCUUGGACAUUGUUUUCAGAACUUAAAGAAACAUUGCUUUAAAGAUUUAUUAGAACAUAUUUAAAAUAAAACCAUCUUCUCAUUUAGUAUGCAA
Molecule: long non-coding RNA, 1612 nt
Filed under: Mus musculus (house mouse)
Lineage: Eukaryota; Metazoa; Chordata; Mammalia; Rodentia; Muridae
Description: RIKEN cDNA 2610307P16 gene
Source: RNAcentral